RNAcentral lists this ribosomal RNA (333 nucleotides) under uncultured microorganism. RNAcentral describes it as "bacterial SSU rRNA". It matches the Rfam family "Archaeal small subunit ribosomal RNA", at positions 330 to 618 of the family's 1478-position model. The record is from RNAcentral.
GUGCAGCAGGCGAGAAACUCCGCAAUGCUCGAAAGAGUGACGGGGAGUUCCAAGUGCCUACGCUUAGCGUAGGCUGUUCAGAUGCCUAAAAAGACAUCUGGAGUAAGGGCUGGGUAAGACGGGUGCCAUCUGCAGUGGUAAUGAAAAACUUAGCUACUGCAAGGCAUAAGCCGCCGCGGUAAUACCCGCAGCCCGAGUGGUAGUCGCUUUUAUUGGGGCCUAAAAGCGUCCGUAGCCGGUCUGGGUAAAAUGCCCUGGGGUAAAAUCGUGGGGCCUAACCUCACGAAUUCCGGGUAGACUGCCAGACUUGGGACCGGUUGAGGGAGAGGGUAC